AUUGAACGCUGGUGGCAGGCUUAACACAUGCAAGUCGAGCGGGGGAAGGUAGCUUGCUACCGGACCUAGCGGCGGACGGGUGAGUAAUGCUUAGGAAUCUGCCUAUUAGUGGGGGACAACAUCUCGAAAGGGAUGCUAAUACCGCAUAAUCUCUACGGAGCAAAGUGGGGGAUCGUAAGACCUCACGCUAUAAGAUGAGCCUGCGUCGGAUUAGCUUGUUGGUGGGGUAAUGGCCUACCAAGGCGACGAUCCGUAGCUGGUCUGAGAGGACGACCAGCCACACUGGGACUGAGACACGGCCCAGACUCCUACGGGAGGCAGCAGUGGGGAAUAUUGGACAAUGGGGGCAACCCUGAUCCAGCAAUGCCGCGUGUGUGAAGAAGGCCUUCGGGUUGUAAAGCACUUUCAAUAGGAAGGAACAAGUUUGCGAUUAAUACUUGUGAACCUAGACGUUACCUAUAGAAGAAGCACUGGCUAACUCUGUGCCAGCCGCCGCCGUAA
Molecule: ribosomal RNA, 501 nt
Filed under: uncultured bacterium
Lineage: Bacteria
Description: partial 16S ribosomal RNA
Rfam family: Bacterial small subunit ribosomal RNA
Source: RNAcentral